GUGUGUGUGUGUGUUUAACAGGGUGUGACGUCAGCCCUGUACGAGUACGCGUGUGAUUUCUCGGAAGCCCAUGAAGUCGACCGACAGACUAACAGCGAAAGUGAAAGAAAAAGAAUAUUGGGCUCAGACACAAACACGCUGUGACGUUUUGUAGACUUUGGCACCAGGAGAGAAAAACAUGAAAUUCGACGUUGAGACUGUCGCCGCGACAGAGACAGUCCCUGAACAGCGACAGCUGGGUCUGGAGACGGGGGAGACGGGCUCUGGAUCAUGGCUCUCCUCCCUCAGAGCAGCAGGUGAGUCCACACCGUGCCUCUGGACACAGCUGGAGCUCCUGUCCUCACGGCUGGAACCCGUCUGUUCUCCUGUGGAGACUGAGGUCCGGUUCUCAUCCUGAAUGUCACGUACUUCCUCCAGGUGCCGGAGCUGGGAGGACCCUCAGAGCUUUGUCACGCCCCCUUUGGAAUGCGGUGCUGUCCGUACCCCCAGUCCGCUGGUC
RNAcentral lists this long non-coding RNA (499 nucleotides) under Lepisosteus oculatus (spotted gar). RNAcentral's name for it is "lncRNA (ENSLOCG00000021583.1)". Lineage: Eukaryota; Metazoa; Chordata; Actinopteri; Semionotiformes; Lepisosteidae. The record is from RNAcentral.